Molecule: non-coding RNA, 944 nt
Filed under: Apistogramma cacatuoides
Lineage: Eukaryota; Metazoa; Chordata; Actinopteri; Cichliformes; Cichlidae
Description: 12S ribosomal RNA
Rfam family: Bacterial small subunit ribosomal RNA
Source: RNAcentral
CAAAGGCUUGGUCCUGGCUUUACUAUCAGCUCUGGCUCGACUUACACAUGCAAGUAUCCGCACCCCCGUGAGGAUGCCCUUAGUUUUCACUCGAAAAUAAGGAGCUGGCAUCAGGCACAGACUUUCUUGUCUCAUCUAGCCCACGACGCCUUGUUAAGCCACACCCCCAAGGGAACUCAGCAGUGAUAAAUAUUAAGCUAUAAGCGACAGCUUGACUUAAUCAGAGCCAAUAUAGGGCCGGUAAAACUCGUGCCAGCAACCGCGGUUACACGACGAGGCUCAAGUUGAUAGUCACGGCGUAAAGGGUGGUUAAGGAUACCUCAUCACUAAAGCGAAAUACCUCCAAGACUGUUAUACGUUCCCGGAGGAAAGAAACCCACAACGAAAGUAGCUUUAUCUUGCCUGACCCCACGAAAGCUGAGGAACAAACUGGGAUUAGAUACCCCACUAUGCCCAGCCCUAAACUCUGAUAGCAGCAUACGCCCGCUAUCCGCCCGGGAACUACGAGCAUUUAGCUUAAAACCCAAAGGACUUGGCGGUGCUUCAAACCCCCCUAGAGGAGCCUGUUCUAGAAUCGAUAAUCCCCGUUAAACCUCACCCUUUCUUGCCACUUCCGCUUAUAUACCGCCGUCGUCAGCUAACCCUGUGAAGGAUGCAUAGUAGGCCAAAUUAGUAAAACCCAAAACGCCAGGUCAAGGUGUAGUACAUGAAGGGGGAAGAAAUGGGCUACAUUCUCUACAAUAGAGAACACGGACAGUGUUAUGAAAUGAACACUAGAAGGAGGAUUUAGUAGUAAGUAGAAAAUAGAGUGUUCUACUGAAUACUGGCUCUGAAGCACGCACACACCGCCCGUCACUCUCUCCAACUACCACCAUACUUCCUACAGGUAAAGGAGGGACAAGUCGUAACAUGGUAAGUGUACCGGAAGGUGUACUUGGAACAAC